Molecule: ribosomal RNA, 342 nt
Filed under: uncultured eukaryote
Lineage: Eukaryota
Description: SSU rRNA
Rfam family: Eukaryotic small subunit ribosomal RNA
Source: RNAcentral
UGUGAUGCCCUUAGAUGUUCUGGGCCGCACGCGCGCUACACUGAAAGGAUCAGCGUGUCCUUCCCUUUCCGAGAGGAACGGGUAACCCGCUGAACCCCUUUCGUGGUAGGGAUCGGGGCUUGCAAUUCUUCCCCGUGAACCAGGAAUGCCCAGUAAGCGCAAGUCAUAAGCUUGCGUUGAUUACGUCCCUGCCCUUUGUACACACCGCCCGUCGCUACUACCGAUUGAACGUUUUAGUGAGGUAUUUGGACUGGACCUGGGUGGGUUAACGCCUACCUUGUUGUCCGGGAAGACUCCCGAACUUGAGCGUUUAGAGGAAGUAAAAGUCGUAACAAGGUUUGC